This is a long non-coding RNA of Pseudoliparis swirei, 685 nucleotides long. RefSeq lists it as uncharacterized. Lineage: Eukaryota; Metazoa; Chordata; Actinopteri; Perciformes; Liparidae. The record is from RefSeq and is a predicted model, not a curated record. The transcript is spliced from 4 exons.
AUAGGUUUUGAUACUUGUUCUUUAUAGGAGCAUUAUAGGGCGACCGUGAGUAUUUGUCCAGUGUCGGUGUCCCGGAGCGAGACAUCUAACUUCUAACUGUAAGUCGCUUUUGGAUAAAAGCGCCAGCUAAAUGCAUGUAACAUGCUUGAAAGUUUCAACCUCAAGAGAGCAGUGCAGCAGAAACUUGCCAUAUAGGAUUUAGUGUCAACUAGAAAUAAGACCGUCACAAUGGCAAUGACCACCACGAGCGGAGUGCGAAGCAUCCCAGAUAGCAGUUGGUCCUAUCCGCCCUCCUGUCGCACUCGGUUUGGUCAUGCCACCGGAUCCGCGCACCAUCAGACAGCGUUGUGACUGCGGUGGAUGCUCCAAGUUGUUGCCCUUCGACUUUUCAAACUGGUAUUUUCAAAACUGCAGCUCUUUGCGCCAGAAGUACGAGUUAGUUGUACAGAAGUGACAACACUGUUGAUCGCCAUCUCUACAAUUCAGAUAAAAUGAACAGAAAGAAUGGGCCUGUCUCCAGCUCCACCAUUAGACGGAGGGUCCGUCAAGAUGUUUUGACUACAUCACUGUGAUUGAUGGGAAACUGAAUACAACUUUGACUGAUGUUCCACUUCAUAGAAUUGUUGACUAACAAAACGGUAGCAGUAAUGCCACAAAGCUAUACCAGCUUUGUGGCACUACUGCU